Molecule: long non-coding RNA, 829 nt
Organism: Pungitius pungitius (ninespine stickleback)
Lineage: Eukaryota; Metazoa; Chordata; Actinopteri; Perciformes; Gasterosteidae
Exons: 3
Source: RefSeq, a predicted model, not a curated record
UCUGCAGAUGAGCUAACCCUUCCCCACCACCACCACAACACCGUUUACAAGAAAAGAGAAGACUAUCAGAAGAAAGUCGUCCCGAUGUGACUGAAAAAUACUGCCCCCGCCUCACCUGAACCCCAACGCGAAGGCUGGGUCCUCCAAGCAUGCGGCCCACCGGAUUGAGACACGGCUACAGGUGGACACCAGGUCUGGUGGCUGCAGGGCUGACAAGGGACAGCUGGAGCUUAUCAGGGGGAGGCAGACAACCAAAAGCAGCGAGAAAACACACAAAGGCGAGAGAGAGAGAGACACCCGCCCGCCCACCGGUAGCAGCAAGACAAAGAAAAAGAUGAAGAAAACUAAAAAUCUGGUUGACACUUGAGAUCAAGUCCUACCACUGAAUGUCUUUUAACAUCAAAAGAAACUUCUUUCCAUACUGUUAACAUCUGUAUUCUUGUCGGGAGGCAAUUGAACCGUGUUGUAAUUUACUGACGAGUAUGUGCGCAGCAGACCGCAAUUAUAUCUGUAACGGCAUUAGAAAUGAAUAAAAUCUUAAAUACAAUAGACUAAAAUGAAGAAUUUCACAUUAAUGUGCUGUUCACUGACAGAAACGCGGUUGAAAUGAAUCUUUUGAAUAUCCAAAUGUUUGCUUUGAGCUGUGAGCUUUCUGAUGGAGUUUACAGACUGGUGAGCUAUGAAGGCUUCCUUUUUUCCCUCUUUGACAGCUCCGUAGUGAAUUACAUGAUGUACGAGUUACAUGAUGUACAAAGAAAACAGGGUUCGACACAGCAACCCGUGAGGGAAUUUACAAUAUUACUGCACCGAAUGACGAUUAACAAACAUG